Molecule: ribosomal RNA, 519 nt
Filed under: uncultured bacterium
Lineage: Bacteria
Description: partial 16S ribosomal RNA
Rfam family: Bacterial small subunit ribosomal RNA
Source: RNAcentral
GACGAACGCUGGCGGCGUGCCUAAUACAUGCAAGUCGAGCGAGUCUGCCUUGAAGAUCGGAGUGCUUGCACUCUGUGAAACAAGAUACAGGCUAGCGGCGGACGGGUGAGUAACACGUGGGUAACCUGCCCAAGAGAUCGGGAUAACACCUGGAAACAGCUGCUAAUACCGGAUAACAACAGAUGAUGCCUAUCAACUGUUUAAAAGAUGGUUCUGCUAUCACUCUUGGAUGGACCUGCGGUGCAUUAGCUAGUUGGUAGGGUAACGGCCUACCAAGGCGAUGAUGCAUAGCCGAUUUGAGAGAAUGAUCGGCCACACUGGGACUGAGACACGGCCCAAACUCCUACGGGAGGCAGCAGUAGGGAAUCUUCCACAAUGGACGCAAGUCUGAUGGAGCAACGCCGCGUGAGUGAAGAAGGGUUUCGGCUCGUAAAGCUCUGUUGUUGGUGAAGAAGGACAGGGGUAGUAACUGACCUUUGUUUGACGGUAAUCAAUUAGAAAGUCACGGCUAACUAAGUG